This 464-nucleotide ribosomal RNA is filed under the name uncultured bacterium. Its description in RNAcentral is "partial 16S ribosomal RNA". It matches the Rfam family "Bacterial small subunit ribosomal RNA", at positions 29 to 507 of the family's 1533-position model. The record is from RNAcentral.
ACGCACGCUGGCGGCGUGCUUAACACAUGCAAGUCGCGCGAGGCCCCUCCUUCGGGAGGGUGUCCUAGCGGCGAACGGGUGAGUAACACGUGGGCAACCUGCCCUCAGCUCUGGGAUAACUCCGGGAAACCGGGGCUAAUACCGGAUACGACCUCCACGGGCAUCUGCGGAGGUGGAAAGUUUUUCGGCUGAGGAUGGGCCCGCGGCCUAUCAGCUAGUUGGUGGGGUAGUGGCCCACCAAGGCGACGACGGGUAGCCGGCCUGAGAGGGCGACCGGCCACACUGGGACUGAGACACGGCCCAGACUCCUACGGGAGGCAGCAGUGGGGAAUAUUGCGCAAUGGGCGAAAGCCUGACGCAGCGACGCCGCGUGAGGGACGAAGGCCUUCGGGUUAUAAACCUCUUUCAGCAGGGACGAAGCGAAAGUGACGGUACCUGCAGAAGAAGCACCGGCCAACUACGUG